This 446-nucleotide ribosomal RNA is filed under the name uncultured bacterium. Its description in RNAcentral is "partial 16S ribosomal RNA". It matches the Rfam family "Bacterial small subunit ribosomal RNA", at positions 338 to 795 of the family's 1533-position model. The record is from RNAcentral.
CCUACGGGAGGCAGCAGACGAGAAUCAUUCACAAUGGGGGAAACCCUGAUGGUGCGACGCCGCGUGGGGGAAUGAAGGUCUUCGGAUUGUAAACCCCUGUCAUGUGGGAGCAAAUUAAAAAGAUAGUACCACAAGAGGAAGAGCCUGCUAACUCUGUGCCAGCAGCCGCGGUAAUACAGAGGUCUCAAGCGUUGUUCGGAAUCACUGGGCGUAAAGCGUGCGUAGGCUGUUGCGUAAGUCGUGUGUGAAAGGCGCGGGCUCAACCCGCGGACGGCACAUGAUACUGCGAGACUAGAGUAAGGGAGGGGGAACCGGAAUGUUCGGUGUAGCAGUGAAAUGCGUAGAGAUCGAGAGGAACACUCGUGGCGAAGGCGGGUUCCUGGACAUUAACUGACGCUGAGGCACGAAGGCCAGGGGAGCGAAAGGGAUUAGAUACCCUUGUAGUC